This 443-nucleotide ribosomal RNA is filed under the name uncultured bacterium. RNAcentral's name for it is "SSU rRNA". It matches the Rfam family "Bacterial small subunit ribosomal RNA", at positions 26 to 518 of the family's 1533-position model. The record is from RNAcentral.
AGGAUGAACGCUGGCGGUCUGCUUAACACAUGCAAGUCGAACGGAGUAGCAAUACUUAGUGGCGGACGGGUGAGUAACGCGUGAGAAUCUACCUUCAGGACGGAGACAACAGUUGGAAACGACUGCUAACCCCCGAUGUACCGAAAGGGCAAAUAUUUAUAGCCUGAAGAAGAGCUCGCGUCCGAUUAGCUAGUUGGAGAGGUAAAAGCUCACCAAGGCGACGAUCGGUAGCUGGUCUGAGAGGACGAUCAGCCACACUGGGACUGAGACACGGCCCAGACUCCUACGGGAGGCAGCAGUGGGAUUUCGCAAUGGGCGAAAGCCUGACGGAGCAAGACCGCGUGGGGGAAGAAGGCUCUUGGGUUGUAACCUCUUUAGUAGGGAAGAAGCGAAAGUGACGGUACCUGCAGAAAAGCACCGGCUAACUACGCGCCAGCAGCCGC